This 214-nucleotide ribosomal RNA is filed under the name uncultured bacterium. Its description in RNAcentral is "partial 16S ribosomal RNA". It matches the Rfam family "Bacterial small subunit ribosomal RNA", at positions 32 to 229 of the family's 1533-position model. The record is from RNAcentral.
AAUCAACGCUGGCGGCGUGCCUAACACAUGCAAGUCGAGCGCGAAAGGGGAGCAAUCCCCAAGUAGAGCGGCGAACGGGUGAGUAACGCGUGGGUAAUCUGCCUCCGAGUGGGGAACAACAUCGGGAAACUGGUGCUAAUACCGCAUGACAUCGUCGGGUCUUCGGCCUGACGAUCAAAGCCGGGGACCGCAAGGCCUGGCGCUUGGAGAGGAG